UACAGAGGUCCCGAGCGUUGUUCGGAUUCACUGGGCGUAAAGGGUGCGCAGGUGGGUUGGCAAGUUUGAUGUGAAAGCCCCGGGCUUAACCCGGGAAUGGCAUUGAAUACUGCUGAUCUGGAGGAUCGGAGGGGGGACUGGAAUUCUUGGUGUAGCAGUGAAAUGCGUAGAUAUCAAGAGGAACACCAGUGGCGAAGGCGAGUCCCUGGACGAUACCUGACACUGAGGCACGAAAGUGUGGGGAGCGAACAGG
Molecule: ribosomal RNA, 253 nt
Filed under: uncultured bacterium
Lineage: Bacteria
Description: partial 16S ribosomal RNA
Rfam family: Bacterial small subunit ribosomal RNA
Source: RNAcentral